UACGUAGGGUGCGAGCGUUGUCCGGAAUUACUGGGUGUAAAGGGUCCGCAGGCGGGCAGGAAAGUCAGAGGUGAAAGACUUCGGCUCAACCGAAGAAUUGCCUUUGAUACUUCUUGUCUUGAAUCCGAGAGAGGAUAGUGGAAUUCAUGGUGUAGCGGUGAAAUGCGUAGAGAGCAUGAAGAACACCAGUAGCGAAGGCGGCUAUCUGGCUCGGUAUUGACGCUCAGGGACGAAAGCGUGGGUAGCAAACAGG
This 253-nucleotide ribosomal RNA is filed under the name uncultured bacterium. RNAcentral's name for it is "partial 16S ribosomal RNA". It matches the Rfam family "Bacterial small subunit ribosomal RNA", at positions 524 to 776 of the family's 1533-position model. The record is from RNAcentral.